CAGUGCCUCGGCAGUGCAGCCC
RNAcentral lists this microRNA (22 nucleotides) under Callithrix jacchus (white-tufted-ear marmoset). Its description in RNAcentral is "Cja-Mir-33-P1_3p* (star (passenger))". RNAcentral also lists the same sequence under 2 other names. Lineage: Eukaryota; Metazoa; Chordata; Mammalia; Primates; Cebidae. The record is from RNAcentral.